AAUAACGACUCUCGGCAACGGAUAUCUCGGCUCUCGCAUCGAUGAAGAACGCAGCGAAAUGCGAUACUUGGUGUGAAUUGCAGAAUCCCGUGAACCAUCGAGUUUUUGAACGCAAGUUGCGCCCAAAGCCUUUUGGCCGAGGGCACGUCUGCCUGGGUGUCACGC
Molecule: ribosomal RNA, 165 nt
Filed under: Croton capitatus
Lineage: Eukaryota; Viridiplantae; Streptophyta; Magnoliopsida; Malpighiales; Euphorbiaceae
Description: 5.8S ribosomal RNA
Rfam family: 5.8S ribosomal RNA
About the family: 5.8S ribosomal RNA (5.8S rRNA) is a component of the large subunit of the eukaryotic ribosome. It is transcribed by RNA polymerase I as part of the 45S precursor that also contains 18S and 28S rRNA. Functionally, it is thought that 5.8S rRNA may be involved in ribosome translocation.
Source: RNAcentral